GACGAACGCUGGCGGCGUGCUUAACACAUGCAAUUCGAACGAUGAACCCGGAUCUUGCUCCGGUGGAUUAGUGGCCAACGGGUGAGUAACACGUGAGUAACCUGCCCUUUACUUGGGGAUAACUGCGGGAAACUGUAGCUAAUACCGGAUACGACCAUCGGCGGCAUCGCCAGGGGGUGUAAAGACUUUCGGUCAAGGAUGGACUCGCGGCCUAUCAGCUAGUUGGGGAGAUAACUGCUCACCAAGGCGACGAAGGGUAGCCGGCCCUGAGAGGGUGACCGGCCACACUGGGACUGAGACACGGCCCAGACUCCUACGGGAGGCAGCAGUGGGGAAUAUUGCACAAUGGGCGCAAGCCUGAUGCAGCAACGCCGCGUGAGGGAUGACGGCCUUCGGGUUGUAAACCUCUUUUAGUAGGGAAGAAGCGAAAGUGACGGUACCUGCAGAAAAAGCACCGGCUAACUACGUGCCAGCCGCCGCAGUAA
This 485-nucleotide ribosomal RNA is filed under the name uncultured bacterium. RNAcentral's name for it is "partial 16S ribosomal RNA". It matches the Rfam family "Bacterial small subunit ribosomal RNA", at positions 28 to 523 of the family's 1533-position model. The record is from RNAcentral.